CCAAGACAUAAAGCCGCCUGAAAGCUGUGUAGCAAUCAUUCCAUUGCUGACCCAUAGGAUGGUAAUCACAUACAUGAUUGGCUUAAUCUAGAAUCAUGGAUACCUUUCAUACCUUCUCAUCACAAGUUGGAACUAGUGGUCAACAUUGGGGCAAUGCAGCCCAAAAUAACAGGGGCCAAUAUUUUCAUUGAGUGAGCAAGACCUGCCAGCAGAGCUCACUGGAGCAGGGAGACAUCCCGUCAUCAUUUUGGCAACUGACAAAGCUUGAGAUUCAGAUCCUGCUGAACGAUGUUAAGCAGUCGAUUAACCACAUGCAGGGGACGCUGAACACCAUGCAGGGGCAGUGUAUUGAGUUGCAGACUGCCAUAUCUAAG
RNAcentral lists this long non-coding RNA (374 nucleotides) under Salmo salar (Atlantic salmon). RNAcentral describes it as "lncRNA (ENSSSAG00000082097.1)". Lineage: Eukaryota; Metazoa; Chordata; Actinopteri; Salmoniformes; Salmonidae. The record is from RNAcentral.